RNAcentral lists this ribosomal RNA (497 nucleotides) under uncultured bacterium. Its description in RNAcentral is "partial 16S ribosomal RNA". It matches the Rfam family "Bacterial small subunit ribosomal RNA", at positions 28 to 507 of the family's 1533-position model. The record is from RNAcentral.
GAUGAACGCUGGCGGCGUGCCUAAUACAUGCAAGUCGAGCGAACAGAUGAUGAGCUUGCUCCUCUGACGUUAGCGGCGGACGGGUGAGUAACACGUGGAUAACCUACCUAUAAGACUGGGAUAACUUCGGGAAACCGGAGCUAAUACCGGAUAAUAUAUUGAACCGCAUGGUUCAAUAGUGAAAUACGGUUUUGCUGUCACUUAUAGAUGGAUCCGCGCCGCAUUAGCUAGUUGGUAAGGUAACGGCUUACCAAGGCAACGAUGCGUAGCCGACCUGAGAGGGUGAUAGGCCACACUGGAACUGAGCCACGGUCCAGACUCCUAAGGGAGGCAGCAGUAGGGAAUGUUCCGCAAUGGGCGAAAGCCUGACGGAGCAACGCCGCGUGAGUGAUGAAGGUCUUCGGAUCGUAAAACUCUGUUAUUAGGGAAGAACAAAUGUGUAAGUAACUAUGCACGUCUUGACGGUACCUAAUCAGAAAGCCACGGCUAACUACGUG